RNAcentral lists this long non-coding RNA (480 nucleotides) under Sorghum bicolor (sorghum). RNAcentral's name for it is "long non-coding RNA (SBIC_LNC012682)". The record is from RNAcentral. Lineage: Eukaryota; Viridiplantae; Streptophyta; Magnoliopsida; Poales; Poaceae.
CUAGAGCCUUGGCGUCAGUCUAGAGCACAAGAGUUCAGUAAUAGAUCUAGUUCUUACUUUAUUGUAUUCAUUGUAUAUAUUAGGGAGACUUUAUUCUUAAUAGAUUCAUAUGUUCUUAAUUGCAAUAGUUCUUGUCUACUUUGAUUAUAUGUCAAGGAUAGUUGGUUUGAUCUUAUUGAAUUCAUGUAAUUGCUCGUAUAAUGUUUACCUAAUCGAUCGUUGGGUAGAUGUUAGACAAUAUGUAGACGUGGUGUCUACAUAUCUUGUUUGUGUGCGAGUGCACCCUAACGUGUCGGGACGUGUGGUAGUCCGCGCAGGUGACAGCUGUGUUGGUUUCUCUGUAGUCCACCCUCCAUAUGUAGGACUAGCAUGGGCACGGUCGCAAAGGAGGUGACCCUUGUGUCUUAAUACCCUCAUUACUUGAUGCCUCUUUACAUGUGAUUAUGAUGUAGGGUUAACUUAACAAUAUUUUCUAGAUGU